This 505-nucleotide ribosomal RNA is filed under the name uncultured bacterium. RNAcentral's name for it is "partial 16S ribosomal RNA". It matches the Rfam family "Bacterial small subunit ribosomal RNA", at positions 29 to 523 of the family's 1533-position model. The record is from RNAcentral.
AGUGAACGCUGGCGGUAGGCCUAACACAUGCAAGUCGAACGGCAGCACAGGAGAGCUUGCUCUCCGGGUGGCGAGUGGCGGACGGGUGAGGAAUACAUCGGAAUCUACUCUGUCGUGGGGGAUAACGUAGGGAAACUUACGCUAAUACCGCUUACGACCUACGGGUGAAAGCAGGGGAUCUUCGGACCUUGCGCGAUUGAAUGAGCCGAUGUCGGAUUAGCUAGUUGGCGGGGUAAAGGCCGACCAAGGCGACGAUCCGUAGCUGGUCUGGGAGGAUGAUCAGCCAAACUGGAACUGGGAAACGGUCCAGACUCCUACGGGAGGCAGCAGUGGGAAAUAUUGGACAAUGGGCGAAAGCCUGAUCCAGCCAUACCGCGUGGGUGAAGAAGGCCUUCGGGUUGUAAAGCCCUUUUGUUGGGAAAGAAAUCCAGCUGGCUAAUACCCGGUUGGGAUGACGGUACCCAAAGAAUAAGCACCGGCUACUUCGUGCCAGCCGCCGCCGUAA